Non-coding RNA from Trichobilharzia regenti, 46 nucleotides. Lineage: Eukaryota; Metazoa; Platyhelminthes; Trematoda; Strigeidida; Schistosomatidae. The record is from Rfam.
GCACUGAUGAAGAGUCCCAAACUAGGACGAAACAGUUGUCCAGUAC